Molecule: ribosomal RNA, 720 nt
Filed under: Actinacidiphila glaucinigra
Lineage: Bacteria; Bacillati; Actinomycetota; Actinomycetes; Kitasatosporales; Streptomycetaceae
Description: bacterial SSU rRNA
Rfam family: Bacterial small subunit ribosomal RNA
Source: RNAcentral
GGCUCUGGACGAACGCUGGCGGCGUGCUUAACACAUGCAAGUCGAACGGUGAAGCCCUUCGGGGUGGAUCAGUGGCGAACGGGUGAGUAACACGUGGGCAAUCUGCCCUGCACUCUGGGACAAGCCCUGGAAACGGGGUCUAAUACCGGAUAUUACCUUCCUCUGCAUGGGGGUUGGUGGAAAGCUCCGGCGGUGCAGGAUGAGCCCGCGGCCUAUCAGCUUGUUGGUGGGGUAAUGGCCUACCAAGGCGACGACGGGUAGCCGGCCUGAGAGGGCGACCGGCCACACUGGGACUGAGACACGGCCCAGACUCCUACGGGAGGCAGCAGUGGGGAAUAUUGCACAAUGGGCGAAAGCCUGAUGCAGCGACGCCGCGUGAGGGAUGACGGCCUUCGGGUUGUAAACCUCUUUCAGCAGGGAAGAAGCGAAAGUGACGGUACCUGCAGAAGAAGCACCGGCUAACUACGUGCCAGCAGCCGCGGUAAUACGUAGGGUGCGAGCGUUGUCCGGAAUUAUUGGGCGUAAAGAGCUCGUAGGCGGCUUGUCACGUCGGUUGUGAAAGCCCGGGGCUUAACCCCGGGUCUGCAGUCGAUACGGGCAGGCUAGAGUUCGGUAGGGGAGAUCGGAAUUCCUGGUGUAGCGGUGAAAUGCGCAGAUAUCAGGAGGAACACCGGUGGCGAAGGCGGAUCUCUGGGCCGAUACUGACGCUGAGGAGCGAAA